Molecule: ribosomal RNA, 434 nt
Filed under: uncultured bacterium
Lineage: Bacteria
Description: partial 16S ribosomal RNA
Rfam family: Bacterial small subunit ribosomal RNA
Source: RNAcentral
AGCGAACGCUGGCGGCAGGCCUAACACAUGCAAGUCGAACGAACCUUUCGGGGUUAGUGGCGGACGGGUGAGUAACACGUGGGAACGUGCCUUUAGGUUCGGAAUAACUCAGGGAAACUUGUGCUAAUACCGAAUGUGCCCUUCGGGGGAAAGAUUAAUCGCCUUUAGAGCGGCCCGCGUCCGAUUAGCUAGUUGGUUGAGGUAAUGGCUCACCAAGGCGACGAUCAGUAGCUGGUCUGAGAGGAUGAUCAGCCACAUUGGGACUGAGACACGGCCCAAACUCCUACGGGAGGCAGCAGUGGGGAAUCUCGCGCAAUGGGCGAAAGCCUGACGCAGCCAUGCCGCGUGAAUGAUGAAGGUCUUAGGAUUGUAAAAUUCUUUCACCGGGGACGAUAAUGACGGUACCCGGAGAAGAAGCCCCGGCUAACUUCGUG